UGAUGAGAGCUUGCUCUCUGAUUUCAGCGGCGGACGGGUGAGUAACACGUGGGCAACCUGCCCUACAGAUGGGGAUAACUCCGGGAAACCGGGGCUAAUACCGAAUAAUCAGUUUGUCCGCAUGGACAAACUCUGAAAGACGGCUUCUCGCUGUCACUGUAGGAUGGGCCCGCGGCGCAUUAGCUAGUUGGUGGGGUAAUGGCCUACCAAGGCGACGAUGCGUAGCCGACCUGAGAGGGUGAUCGGCCACACUGGCACUGAGACACGGCCCAGACUCCUACGGGAGGCAGCAGUAGGGAAUCUUCCACAAUGGACGAAAGUCUGAUGGAGCAAUGCCGCGUGAGCGAAGAAGGUUUUCGGA
RNAcentral lists this ribosomal RNA (361 nucleotides) under uncultured bacterium. RNAcentral's name for it is "bacterial SSU rRNA". It matches the Rfam family "Bacterial small subunit ribosomal RNA", at positions 69 to 422 of the family's 1533-position model. The record is from RNAcentral.